AGAGUUUGAUCCUGGCUCAGGACGAACGCUGGCGGCGUGCCUAAUACAUGCAAGUCGAGGGCUGGAGCGUUUCCUUCGGGAAACAAUCCGGAGCGGCGGACGGGUGAGUAACACGUAGGCAACCUGCCCGUAAGACCGGGAUAACUACCGGAAACGGUAGCUAAUACCGGAUAGGUGGCUUCUUCGCAUGGAGAGGCCAAGAAACGCGGAGCAAUCUGCGGCUUACGGAUGGGCCUGCGGCGCAUUAGCUAGUUGGCAGGGUAACGGCCUACCAAGGCGACGAUGCGUAGCCGACCUGAGAGGGUGAUCGGCCACACUGGGACUGAGACACGGCCCAGACUCCUACGGGAGGCAGCAGUAGGGAAUCUUCCGCAAUGGGCGAAAGCCUGACGGAGCAACGCCGCGUGAGUGAUGAAGGUUUUCGGAUCGUAAAGCUCUGUUGCGCAAGGAAGAACGGCCCGGAGGGUA
This 468-nucleotide ribosomal RNA is filed under the name Paenibacillus sp. RNAcentral describes it as "bacterial SSU rRNA". It matches the Rfam family "Bacterial small subunit ribosomal RNA", at positions 8 to 469 of the family's 1533-position model. The record is from RNAcentral. RNAcentral also lists the same sequence under 1 other name. Lineage: Bacteria; Bacillati; Bacillota; Bacilli; Caryophanales; Paenibacillaceae.